CUCUGCACCUGACUUAAUCCACUAUAAAUUCAUGCUGCGUUCCUACACUCAUUCCUCUGCAAAAGUAAAUUACACCCUCAUAAGCACUCUGUCCCACCAACCCAAAUGCCUUUUUCACACUUUUAAUGCUCUCCUUUGCCCUGUUGCUCCCCCUCCUCCUACCACCGUGUCCGCCUCAAACUUUGCAACUCAUUUCACUGAGAUUUCUAUAAUCAGGGAAGAGAUCUCUAACUU
Molecule: non-coding RNA, 234 nt
Organism: Pelobates cultripes (western spadefoot toad)
Lineage: Eukaryota; Metazoa; Chordata; Amphibia; Anura; Pelobatidae
Source: the annotation of a GenBank genome assembly